Vicia faba (fava bean) is the source of this 723-nucleotide non-coding RNA. Lineage: Eukaryota; Viridiplantae; Streptophyta; Magnoliopsida; Fabales; Fabaceae. The record is from the annotation of a GenBank genome assembly.
GUUCGAUGGCCGGGCGACGGGAAAGACUCUUGAAGCUGUCUUGCGACCAGAAGCGGGGUAGGAGGGUCGUGAAGGCUCCCCAGGCAACGAGGAUGGGCCCACCGCAUAGUCCGGGCGCUCCUCAGGUGGUGAGGGUGGAUUCGUCGCCCAGCUCGGGGGCCGCGUCGGAUGAGAUCCCAGAGGUUCAAGAGGUCGAGCCACAUGCCGACCUGAUACAAAGAAAGAGGAACCGGGUGGAAAGCGGGCCGACGGUCGGCGAGGACACCAGCGCCGUCAGGUCCUUCGAGUUCCCCCCUUGCUUCAAAGAGGAGGGUUUCUUCGAGAGAUUCCCUCUGUCCGUGGUUGCCGACGAGGCUGAGACUAUCAAGAGGAUGAGUAAGGAGGAUCGGAAGAGGCACCUGGCCGCCAGCAUGGCCGGGCUGGUGAAAAUGGCCGAAAUGGCCCUGGUGCUGUCCGAGGAAAGGGAGGACCCUGUCCGUAUUGAAGAACUUGAGCAGGAGAAAGCGGCUCUCACCUCGAGCUCGCGGAAGUUAAGGACUGCCCUGGAACGCUCCGAGGAGAUGUUCCGCGAGCAGGCAUCGCUGCUGGCCGCUGAGAGGGAGAUGUUGGUCCUGGAGAAAGAAAAUUCGGGGAAGCUAGCCGAGGAGGGAGAGCUUCUCCGCGCAGACAGGGAUCGUCUGGAGACUGACAUCGGGCGCCUGACCCAACAGAUCGAGGACAUGA